UCUUCCGCAAUGGACGAAAGUCUGACGGAGCAACGCCGCGUGAGCGAUGAAGGCUUUCGGGUCGUAAAACUCUGUUGUUAGGGAAGAACAAGUGCUAGUUGAAUAAGCUGGCACCUUGACGGUACCUAACCAGAAAGCCACGGCUAACUACGUGCCAGCAGCCGCGGUAAUACGUAGGUGGCAAGCGUUAUCCGGAAUUAUUGGGCGUAAAGCGCGCGCAGGUGGUUUCUUAAGUCUGGUGUGAAAGCCCACGGCUCAACCGUGGAGGGUCAUUGAAAACUGGGAGACUUGAGUGCAGAAGAGGAAAGUGGAAUUCCGUGUGUGGCGGUGAAAUGCGUAGAGAUAUGGAGGGACACCAGUGGCGAAGGCGACUUUCUGAUCUGUAACUGACACUGAGGCGCGAAAGCGUGGGGAGCAAACGAG
Molecule: ribosomal RNA, 423 nt
Filed under: uncultured bacterium
Lineage: Bacteria
Description: bacterial SSU rRNA
Rfam family: Bacterial small subunit ribosomal RNA
Source: RNAcentral